RNAcentral lists this ribosomal RNA (440 nucleotides) under uncultured bacterium. RNAcentral's name for it is "partial 16S ribosomal RNA". It matches the Rfam family "Bacterial small subunit ribosomal RNA", at positions 338 to 795 of the family's 1533-position model. The record is from RNAcentral.
CCUACGUGAGGCAGCAGUGGGGAAUAUUGCACAAUGGGGGAAACCCUGAUGCAGCGACGCCGCGUGAGUGAAGAAGUAUUUCUGUACGUAAAGCUCUAUCAGCAGGGAAGAAAAUGACGGUACCUGACUAAGACGCCACGGCUAACUACGUGCCAGCCGCCGCGGUACUACGUAGGGGGCAAGCGUUAUCCGGAUUUACUGGGUGUAACGGGAGCGUAGACGGCAGCGCAAGUCUGGAGUGAAAUCCCAUGGCUUAACCAUGGAACUGCUUUGGAAACUGUGCAGCUGGAGUGCAGGAGAGGUAAGCGGAAUUCCUAGUGUAGCGGUGAAAUGCGUAGAUAUUAGGAGGAACCCCAGUGGCGAAGGCGGCUUACUGGACUGUAACUGACGUUGAGGCUCGAAAGCGUGGGGAGCAAACAGGAUUAGAUACCCUUGUAGUC